UACAAACCUUCAGCUCCUUUCUUCCAGCUU
RNAcentral lists this non-coding RNA (30 nucleotides) under Mus musculus (house mouse). Lineage: Eukaryota; Metazoa; Chordata; Mammalia; Rodentia; Muridae. The record is from RNAcentral.